Molecule: ribosomal RNA, 254 nt
Filed under: uncultured bacterium
Lineage: Bacteria
Description: partial 16S ribosomal RNA
Rfam family: Bacterial small subunit ribosomal RNA
Source: RNAcentral
UACGGGGGGAGCAAGCGUUGUUCGGAUUUACUGGGCGUAAAGGGCGCGUAGGCGGCCUCCGCAAGUCAAUUGUGAAAUCUCCGGGCUUAACUCGGAAAGGUCAGCCGAUACUGCGGGGCUAGAGUGCAGAAGGGGCAACUGGAAUUCUCGGUGUAGCGGUGAAAUGCGUAGAUAUCGAGAGGAACACCUGCGGCGAAGGCGGGUUGCUGGGCUGACACUGACGCUGAUGCGCGAAAGCUAGGGGAGCGAACGGG